GAUGAACGCUGGCGGCGUGCCUAAUACAUGCAAGUCGAGCGAACGGACGAGAAGCUUGCUUCUCUGAUGUUAGCGGCGGACGGGUGAGUAACACGUGGAUAACCUACCUAUAAGACUGGGAUAACUUCGGGAAACCGUAGCUAAUACCGGAUAAUAUUUUGAACCGCAUGGUUCAAAAGUGAAAGACGGUCUUGCUGUCACUUAUAGAUGGAUCCGCGCUGCAUUAGCUAGUUGGUACGUUAACGGCUUACCAAGGCAACGAGGCAUAGCCGACGUGAGGGGCGGAUCGGCCACACUGGAACUGAGACACGCUCCAGGCGCCUGCGGGACGCCGCAGUAGGGAAUCUGCCGCAGUGGGCGAAAGCAUUGCGGAGCAGCGCCGCGUGAGUGAUGAAGGUCUUCGGAUCGUAAAGCUCUGUUAUUAGGGAAGAACAGAUGUGUAAGUAACUGUGCACAUCUUGACGGUACCUAAUCAGAAAGCCCCGGCUAACUACGUG
This 497-nucleotide ribosomal RNA is filed under the name uncultured bacterium. RNAcentral describes it as "partial 16S ribosomal RNA". It matches the Rfam family "Bacterial small subunit ribosomal RNA", at positions 28 to 507 of the family's 1533-position model. The record is from RNAcentral.